Manacus vitellinus (golden-collared manakin) is the source of this 296-nucleotide long non-coding RNA. RefSeq lists it as uncharacterized. The transcript has 3 exons. The record is from RefSeq and is a predicted model, not a curated record. Lineage: Eukaryota; Metazoa; Chordata; Aves; Passeriformes; Pipridae.
CAGGGCUGCGGGGUCUGCGGGGUCGCGGGGCCGCUCCCGCCGGCGGAGCGGCGCGUCCCGCCAGGUCCAGGGACCUAAGUUUUGCACAGAAGGCCAUAAGGGAACCCGGGGCGAGGAAGAGAAAUCACUGACAAUGACAAGCUGUGGGAAGAGGGAGUGAGCUGGGGGGGUGAUCCUGCACCCCAUGGUUGGGACACCUCCCCGUGGCAGCAUGGCCAGGAUGAGGCCGUCGCCCACCCCACACCGCCACGUGUCCCCGGGAUCUCGCCCGCCCCGCGGCCCCUCUGCCGUGCCGG